AUCAUCAAAUUGUCUGUUCAAUUGCAAUUUAAAUCAUCCACAUUGCAGAUUCUUCAUACUGAAUGGGGCUAGCAGGUAUCCAAGCAGCGAAGUCAACCAGUAUCUGUAGGAUGAAGGAACUGAGAGCAUGGAUUACCCAUCAGAAUACUUUUGAGCAUCCAGGUGAAAAACCUGGUGGGUGGUUUCCACUUCACAUACAAUUUGCCCAACAUGGAUGCAGCAACCAAACCAAGACCUGGACUAGAAGUGUGCUGUCUGAGUGAAGUGACUUGCCCCCAAAUCAAACAAUGAAUCACAGCCAGCAGAUUCUCAGGCUUGUUACAUACUGAAGGCUGUUUGUACAUGGAAGCUAAAACAAGAUUAAGUCACAGUCUUCCCAGGUCAUCAAUUUGGAUCUUUCACGUUCUCUUUAAAAAUCAGACACAACAGCACACAGAGGGUUGGACAAGGAUUAAGAAAAACUAAUAUCCUGCCAUGGGUGGAUUCGACAUCUAGGUCUUUAGAAAUAUACCUAUAAAUAUUCUCAUGCCCCAAAUCAGAACAGCUCCAAAAGGGUCUUAGCUGAUGAAUUUAUUAAUUGAUCAUAAAUUAUACCUGCCAGAUCUCAG
Molecule: long non-coding RNA, 608 nt
Organism: Acipenser ruthenus (sterlet)
Lineage: Eukaryota; Metazoa; Chordata; Actinopteri; Acipenseriformes; Acipenseridae
Exons: 3
Source: RefSeq, a predicted model, not a curated record